This 207-nucleotide unclassified non-coding RNA is filed under the name Fraxinus angustifolia. RNAcentral's name for it is "partial external transcribed spacer". The record is from RNAcentral. Lineage: Eukaryota; Viridiplantae; Streptophyta; Magnoliopsida; Lamiales; Oleaceae.
UUGUCAUAUCCCUUUUGGUUCCCUGUGUUGCAUACCUUCGAGACGGUAUCCUGUAGGAUAGAAUCGCCCCGUUUCGCCCGACGUCGCGAGGAACAUCGCGACCGAGGGCGAACCGAAAAGCACUCAUCGCGUUCCACCCCGUUCGCGUGACGCGCUGCGGGACACGGCCCGCGAUGACGUGCUCGAAUUCUCGGAUGCGGAUCACAA